RNAcentral lists this ribosomal RNA (300 nucleotides) under uncultured bacterium. Its description in RNAcentral is "bacterial SSU rRNA". It matches the Rfam family "Bacterial small subunit ribosomal RNA", at positions 775 to 1067 of the family's 1533-position model. The record is from RNAcentral.
GGAUUAGAUACCCUGGUAGUCCACGCCGUAAACGAUGCACACUAGACGUCGGAGGUUCUGACACCGUCGGCGUUGCAGCAAAAGUACUAAGUGUGCCGCCUGGGGAGUACGGCCGCAAGGCUAAAACUCAAAGGAAUUGACGGGGGCUCACACAAGCGGUGGAGCAUGUGGCUUAAUUCGAAGCAACGCGAAGAACCUUACCCAGGUUUGACAUGCUUGGAUGCAAACGGGUAAUUCCGGGCGCUACCCUUCGGGGUGAAACAAGCACAGGUGUUGCAUGGCUGUCGUCAGCUCGUGUCG